CACGGACCAAGGAGUCUAACAUGUGCGCAAGUCAUUGGGUUUUAAACCUACAGGCGAAAUGAAAGUGAAGGCCGUUUGGUGUGCGGCCGAGGGAAGAUGGUACCGGACAACCUGGGUCUCGGCCCGGGCCCGGCCCGCAUUCCCGGGGCGUCUCGUCCUCAUUGCGAGGUGAGGCGCACCUAGAGCGUACACGUUGGGACCCGAAAGAUGGUGAACUAUGCCCGGCCGGGACGAAGUCAGGGGAAACCCUGAUGGAGGUCCGUAGCGAUUCUGACGUGCAAAUCGAUCGUGAGAGCUGGGUAUAGGGGCGAAAGACUAAUCGAACCAUCUAGUAGCUGGUUCCCUCCGAAGUUUCCCUCAGGAUAGCUGGCACUCGGAGGAAUUGAAGGAAAGAGUCUCAUACGGUAAAGCGAAUGAUUAGAGGCAUUGGGGCCGAAACGACCUCAACCUAUUCUCAAACUUUAAAUGGGUGAGAACUCAGGCUUGCUUGAGUAUGAAGCCGGAGACGGAUUGGAGUGCCAAGUGGGCCACUUUUGGUAAG
Molecule: ribosomal RNA, 541 nt
Filed under: Clonaria sp. WS121
Lineage: Eukaryota; Metazoa; Arthropoda; Insecta; Phasmatodea; Diapheromeridae
Description: partial 28S ribosomal RNA
Rfam family: Eukaryotic large subunit ribosomal RNA
Source: RNAcentral